CAGCAGCCGCGGUAACACGAAGGGGGCUAGCGUUGUUCGGAUUUACUGGGCGUAAAGGGUGCGUAGGCGGAUUGUUAAGUCAGGGGUGAAAUCCCGAGGCUCAACCUCGGAACUGCCUUUGAUACUGGCGAUCUUGAGUCCGGGAGAGGUGAGUGGAACUGCGAGUGUAGAGGUGAAAUUCGUAGAUAUUCGCAAGAACACCGGUGGCGAAGGCGGCUCACUGGCCCGGUACUGACGCUGAGGCACGAAAGCGUGGGGAGCAAAUGGGAUUAGAUACCCGGGUAGUCCCUGUCUCUUAUAA
This 301-nucleotide ribosomal RNA is filed under the name uncultured bacterium. RNAcentral describes it as "partial 16S ribosomal RNA". It matches the Rfam family "Bacterial small subunit ribosomal RNA", at positions 509 to 809 of the family's 1533-position model. The record is from RNAcentral.